RNAcentral lists this ribosomal RNA (515 nucleotides) under uncultured bacterium. Its description in RNAcentral is "bacterial SSU rRNA". It matches the Rfam family "Bacterial small subunit ribosomal RNA", at positions 28 to 518 of the family's 1533-position model. The record is from RNAcentral.
GACGAACGCUGGCGGCAUGCCUAACACAUGCAAGUCGAACGGAGAGGAUUCAGAAGUUUACUUCAGGAUUCUCUUAGUGGCGGACGGGUGAGUAACACGUGGGUAAUCUGCCUGUUACAAACCGGGAUAACAGUGUGAAAACGCUGCUAAUACCGGAUAAGCUCACAAGGUCGGGAGACCUGGUGAGAAAAGGGCAAUCCGGUAACAGAUGAGCCCGCGGCUGAUUAGCUAGUUGGUGAGGUAAUGGCUCACCAAGGCGACGAUCAGUAGCCGGCCUGAGAGGGUGACCGGCCACACUGGAACUGAGACACGGUCCAGACUCCUACGGGAGGCAGCAGUGGGGAAUCUUCCGCAAAUGGGCGAAAGCCUGACGGAGCAAUGCCGCGUGAGUGAAGAAAGGCCCUCGGGGUUUAAAGCUCUUUUGUCCGGAAAGAAAAGCGCCGGGUUAAUACCCUGGUGUCCUGACGGUACCGGAAGAAUAAAGCACCGGCUAAACUUCGUGCCCAGCAGCCGAC